AAGAGCGGGGUUCAAAUGGAGAAAAGGAGACACGAGGUGUUUUCUGGAGAACGGGGUUCACAAUGGCGAUCGCAAGUUAUCGUCAGGCGACUGGGGUUCAAAUGGAGAAAAGGAGACACGAGGUGUUUUAAUGGCGAUCGCAAGUUAUCGUCAGGCGACUGGGGUUCAAAUGGAGAAAAGGAGACACGAGGUGUUUUCUGGAGAAUGGGGUUCAUUAUUUUGGCAAACAGGAGAACGGGGUUCAAAUGCAGUGAUCUGGGAUCGUUUGCGCAAGAAAAAU
Molecule: long non-coding RNA, 280 nt
Filed under: Lathyrus oleraceus (garden pea)
Lineage: Eukaryota; Viridiplantae; Streptophyta; Magnoliopsida; Fabales; Fabaceae
Description: Pisum sativum (pea) long non-coding RNA (PSAT_LNC000775)
Source: RNAcentral